GACCAUCUCCUCGAUCAACGUAUUUUACAAUGAAGUGGAACGCAACAAAAAUGCAACAAACACGGCGAAAUAUGAACGCAAAAGGAGCACCCUCGAGGGAAGAAAGACUCAGUCAGAACCUGCGUAAAGAUGAAGAAAAAAAGAGCAGACCUGGCUAUCAAAAACAAGAGAAAAACAAGGGCAGCAGCCGAGAAGGACGGGGUGGGAGGAGUUGGAGUGGAUGAUCGAGAGAGAACCCGAGCCCGAGCACGAGCGAAAGCGAGAGUGAGACGGAGACAAAGACGGAGACGCAGGAGGCUGAAAAGCAACCGGAAGAGCGCCACUGUCACCAAAGGAGAGUGCUGAAAAGCAGAGGAG
This is a non-coding RNA of Nerophis lumbriciformis (worm pipefish), 357 nucleotides long. The record is from RefSeq and is a predicted model, not a curated record. NCBI's taxonomy places the organism in Eukaryota, Metazoa, Chordata, Actinopteri, Syngnathiformes, Syngnathidae.